Molecule: ribosomal RNA, 464 nt
Filed under: uncultured Alphaproteobacteria bacterium
Lineage: Bacteria; Pseudomonadati; Pseudomonadota; Alphaproteobacteria
Description: bacterial SSU rRNA
Rfam family: Bacterial small subunit ribosomal RNA
Source: RNAcentral
AACGAACGCUAUCGGUAUGCUUAACACAUGCAAGUCGAACGGACUAAUUGGGGCUUGCUCCAAUUAGUUAGUGGCAGACGGGUGAGUAACACGUGGGAAUCCACCCAUCAGUACGGAAUAACUUUUAGAAAUAAAAGCUAAUACCGUAUAUUCUCUAUGGAAGAAAGAUUUAUCGCUGAUGGAUGAGCCCGCGUCAGAUUAGGUCGUUGGUGAGGUAACGGCUCACCAAGCCGACGAUCUGUAGCUGGUCUGAGAGGAUGAUCAGCCACACUGGGACUGAGACACGGCCCAGACUCCUACGGGAGGCAGCAGUGGGGAAUAUUGGACAAUGGGCGAAAGCCUGAUCCAGCAAUACCGAGUGAGUGAUGAAGGCCUUAGGGUUGUAAAGCUCUUUUAGCAAGGAAGAUAAUGACGUUACUUGCAGAAAAAGCCCCGGCUAACUCCGUGCCAGCAGCCGCGGUAAG